AAUCCCUUUAAAUAAAGUCCAGAGAGGCUUGCAAGGGAGGUCGCAAAUCUGUGCACAGUGCUUUGCUAUGUACAGGUCUGCUUAAUGUAACCUCCUUUGCGGCAAAGGAGGUAUUUUUUU
Fictibacillus macauensis ZFHKF-1 is the source of this 120-nucleotide regulatory RNA element. It matches the Rfam family "PyrR binding site". From Rfam's summary of the family: This family represents the PyrR binding site and terminator structure. The record is from Rfam. NCBI's taxonomy places the organism in Bacteria, Bacillati, Bacillota, Bacilli, Caryophanales, Fictibacillaceae.